UCACAUCAGAGGUGCGAUUGUGUAAAGUUGUUCAUGGAUGGACAAUGAAUACAAUUGAUCAUCGAUCGUAUAUCUAAAUUCGAAUUGUGUAAUUUUGUCCAUUUCAUGAAGACCGAAAAGUGACCGGUCGUAUAUAAUCGUUUCAUGGAUUUGCGUUUUAUUAAUGAAAAACAUUCGCUAAAACUCAUUAUUUUUUAACAAAUAACGAAUGAAAUCCAUGUUCAAAUGCAGUUUUUUUUAAUAAAAUUUUAUGAUUGCACCUUAAUAACAUACUUUUAUUCAUAAAAACAUUGAAUUCGAAUUAAAAAUUUACCUCUGCAAAUCAUAUAACCAAACGCAUAGAACGAAUGAAAUACGAGUUCCACUACCCGCCCCCAGGUGGCAUACAUACUUUAAGGCUAGGCAGGCUAAGUUGACUACUACUCUACAAUAGGUGGCGUUAAUGGACUACGAAAAACGACGUGAAAUGCUUACUUCUUUUUAUUUAUUUAUACUUUAAUGCCAAAAUUUUAACCUAAGGCGAACUUAAUCUCACAUUUAAUAAAUUAUACAUAAAUAAGUGUUUUGAGAAGUAGUAUUUUAAUCUAUGUUCUGUGAAUGACAAGUGUUAUCUGUCAAGUGUCAAAAAACUUGGAAAAACUUUUACGAAGUUUUUGAAUUAUGUUAAAUUUGUUUAUAAACACAAUGCCAAAGGCAAGAAUAAUUGCCCACGCCAGAUGGAGACCCAGCUAAAUAAUGUAGUAACAGCGCGUGGUCGUGUGAUGAGGGUUCCUUGACUUGAGUUCUGGCGCAACACGUCCUGGGCACUAAACAAGAUUGGGGAUGGGACGUCUAAAGAGGUGCAAGCCUGGAAAACGCUCUCGUCUUGCUCUACAGCACUUGCACUUGUCCCACCAUCUACCAGUGUUGGAACUCUUCCAAUAAUUUCCCACACCCAGGUGGAGAAUACUCCAGUUACUGCUACUGCUACUCUAAAAUAUCUCUCAUCUUGUUCUACAGCGCCUGCACCUGUCCUACCAUCUACCAGUGUUGGAACUCUUCGAAGUGUAUUAAUGAUUAUUAUUUUAGUAACCAUAAAAGUUUAAAACAAUACAUUUUAUUGCAUAAUUAUUUGUUAGAAAAAACGACAAGUACAAAUGAGUAGGGAGGCUGUUGAUUUUUCAUGGUUAUUUUAUAUCUUGUUGAUUGUUCCAAAAAAAAAACUAAGUUUUCAAGAAUGAUAUUAUGAUUAAAGUACCUAUAGUAUUAUAUUUAAAAUGAAAACUUAGUUUGUAAAGAGACGAAGGCUGACCACAAAAGAAGUACUUAUAGCUGUCUGUGUCUGUGUAAAGAAUUUAAAUAAAAAGAUGUGUAUAUUUAAA
Long non-coding RNA from Ostrinia nubilalis (European corn borer), 1361 nucleotides. RefSeq lists it as uncharacterized. NCBI's taxonomy places the organism in Eukaryota, Metazoa, Arthropoda, Insecta, Lepidoptera, Crambidae. The transcript is spliced from 4 exons. The record is from RefSeq and is a predicted model, not a curated record.